GACUUUCGUCUCCGAUGCUCUCAGAUUAGUAUGUUGAUCCUGGCUCAGAGUGAACGCUGGCGGUAGGCCUAACACAUGCAAGUCGAACGGCAGCACAGGAGAGCUUGCUCUCUGGGUGGCGAGUGGCGGACGGGUGAGGAAUACAUCGGAAUCUACUCUGUCGUGGGGGAUAACGUAGGGAAACUUACGCUAAUACCGCAUACGACCUACGGGUGAAAGCAGGGGAUCUUCGGACCUUGCGCGAUUGAAUGAGCCGACGUCGGAUUAGCUAGUUUGGCGGGGUAAAGGCCCACCAAGGCGACGAUCCGUAGCUGGUCUGAGAGGAUGAUCAGCCACACUGGAACUGAGACACGGUCCAGACUCCUACGGGAGGCAGCAGUGGGGAACUAUUGGACAAUGGGCGCAAGCCUGAUCCAGCCAUACCGCGUGGGGUUGAACGAAGGGCCUUCGGGGGUUGGUAAAAAGCGCCCUUUAGGGGGGAAAGGA
Molecule: ribosomal RNA, 486 nt
Filed under: uncultured bacterium
Lineage: Bacteria
Description: bacterial SSU rRNA
Rfam family: Bacterial small subunit ribosomal RNA
Source: RNAcentral